AUCACGCAGCUACAAAGUUUCUGCUUAAAAAGGGUUUAGCGUCAUUUCACACGUCUGACCUGCUGACUGCCUAAAUGUGAGCAUCAUAAUGGACAGGACACGAGCCUUUUAUCAUAUCAUCAAGCAGCAUUCAUUGAAAUUAAAGUGUCAUAUUUAAUCCAAAUAACACACGAGUAAAUUGUCCAAUACGCAUCAGAAUGAACAAAACAUUGCGAUGAGAGAUGUUGCUUUAUAAUAUUCUCCGUACUGUCUUUGCUUUAUUCCUGGUCUCUUGGUCCUGGUCAGUUAAUGUUUCGCGGGCUGGCUUCAUUUUUCAGAGGUCAUGGAAUUCAUGUCUCGAUAUUUAAGGCAAUACAUUCAACUCGGAACUUCAGUUUGCAAGACUCAAGGUUGACAAUCUGGAAUGCAAGGAAGAGCAAUGCCGUCCCACGCAGUCUGUGAUGUGUCAGCAGCAGCAACAUCUCCAUGCAGCUCAGCGGGUGUUCACUCCUGCCUGAUAUUUCCUCGUCUUGCACUGGGCCGGGCCGGCUCGCCUCUCCUCUUAACCUCGAAGAUCUCGAUCUCUUCUCCCUCUACAACUACCCCUUGUUCCUGCCUACUGGGCCGACCUCAGAAUCAUCAGCCAGCAGAGUUGUAAGACUCAUUUGUUUCAUGAACGUUGCUGGUAUUAUUGUAAAAUAAACUAUUUUCAUGAGAAACCUGAAUGUUUUGUAAACAUUGAUUUUUGUUCAUCAUUGGCUUACCAUGGAUGCCCACCUGGAUCCCCCCAGAUCCUUUAAUGCUUUCAGCACAAAAAAUGUCCUCCACUGCCGUUAGGUCCGAAGUUGCUGUUGGUGGUCCUCUUUCCGUGGCCACUUGCUCUUUUUUGUUAGCGGCAAGCUUUUGUUUUACCCAUCUUCUGACACCAUUGGAUCUUUUUCAGCAUUAAGCAGCCAUUCUUGUGAUGCCAGAAAAUGAGGACAAACUUACUGCUACCUCCUCCCAUGCCUGCUUCACCUCAAGGGGCUUUUGUGGAAUCCAGCUUGUUGUCCCGUAUAGAUUUUCACACAGAACAUUCACUGGCUCUGCAUCUUCAUACAGACUACCAUUCUCUACACAUUUCAAUUUGUCACACAGAUCUCUGCGGCGAGUGAAUGAGCCGUGCCUUGUGGUACCAUCAUAAAAGCAAACAAAAUCAGUUCCUUCUUCAUUGACCUUCAUUGUUUCUAGAAACAGUUUUCUAAUUCUACCCCAAACAACCCAUCAGCAUCAUCUUUUACUGAUUUAAUUUAAUUCUCUUCUCACCUAUUGUCACAGUUGUCAGCUUAUUACAUCUCAGCACUCGUCUGCUUCAUUUAUCUCUGAUCAAGACCAGAUUUAUGGAGUCUUGAGAGGCUUUAAGACCAAGACCACAAGAUCAAGACCCCAAUUCUGGCAGUAAGCCAUCUGUUGAUCAGCUUAUAAAACUAACACUUCCAGUGACAAAAUGUAUAAAAAUGAAAUCUAGUUUAUUUAACAAAGAGCCUAGUUUGUUCUUGGCUGCUCUUUAUAUGAAACCAUAUCCUGUGCUGGUUUAUGGAAAUGUGGCGGUCUUGUGCUAGAACAGAAAAAAGACUAAUAGCCCACUGCAUUUUAAUGAAAAACCAGUGUAGUCAAGACCUCAGCUCUAGAUUUCCCUCCAAUCUUACCCAAAACCAAAUGCUUUUGCACCUGACCGCUAUCAUUGUAAAGUGUCAAUUUAAGAAUAGCAGAUGUUAGAGAAGUGGUUACACAUUUCAAAAGCUUGAGCAUGCUUCAGUUUAUUAGUGUGGCACAACCGUAGUGUUUUUAAUUCCUUCUCAGUUGCCAUAUUUGUGUUUUUAUUUCACAGCAUUUAUAUUUGAAUAACUUUAUUUUUAUUGUGAAAUAACUAAAAGGUCUAAUCUGUAAUUACUUUUUUUCUGGUUUCCAUGUUUUGUGGGGAUAUUCCAUAGACGUAAUGCAUUUUAUACCGUACAAACUGUAUUUUCUAUUCCCUUCCCCUAACCCAAACCUUAACCCCAACCAUCACAGAAAACUUUGUUAUCUUAGAUUUUCAAGAAACAUCAUUCUGUUUAUAUUAUAGGCUUGUUUUCUCAUGGGUCCUCAAAAUGUCCCCACAAGGUAAAAAAAAUACUGGUAUUUCUAUUUUUGUGAGGACAAUUGGUCCCCACAACAUGAUAAUUACCAGGUACACACACACACACGCGCGUGCGCACACACACACACACACACUAUCAAAGUCAUUGAGCAGUCUCUCUUCCUGACUCAGGAAAUGGAGUAAAGUUUCUGUGGCCGUUCCACUGGACUGACUCUUGUCUGCAACCCAGACACACACACGCGCACACACGCGCACACAGAGAGAGAGAGAGAGAUUGAUCUACUGUAGCUAUUUGAAUGAGGACAUAUCUCAGAUUUAUACUGCUUUAUAUGAAGCUAAUUAUAGACUAAACCGAGCUUUAACCUUACUCCUAAAAACUCCUGUAGGAAACUGUGAUGAUUGUUUCUCUUUGACAGCAUUACAAUUAAAUAUAAUUUUUCACUCUAAGUGGUGAUGUGCUGUUGCAAUUUAGCAUUUGCUCACAUUUUCAUGAUGAGUUCAGUGCACAUUUUCUAGGUCAUGCAGCUUUUAAAAUAGCAUACU
Misgurnus anguillicaudatus (oriental weatherfish) is the source of this 2641-nucleotide non-coding RNA. Lineage: Eukaryota; Metazoa; Chordata; Actinopteri; Cypriniformes; Cobitidae. The record is from RefSeq and is a predicted model, not a curated record.